AAUCACAGAAUUAGACCUCAGAUUACACAGGAGGGCUAAAAGGAUGACAUUUUAUAUAUGAUAGGCCUAUUGCUACAUACGUCCAUAAUAUGAGGAAAUUGUGUUAGAUAAUCACAAAGGUUUCAUCCAACUUCAAAAGCAUCCAGCAUUACUUGGUCUUCAGCAUCACCCCUGACUCCUAGGAACUUAAGAAGACAUACAUUUACAUUUUAACUUGGAAGAAAGAAAUGCUGAAAGAACAAUCUGGUCUUCCAUGCUUCCUGCUACAGAAAUACAAAUGCUUCUUAAAGUUUUUUGUUCAACCAGUGCUCAGUUAUGGUUGGUCCCCUGGCUGAGGGUAGCAACUCUCCCACCUGUCACUGGAUGAAGACAGAUACCCAAGACCUGGUUUUUCUCCUAAAAUCUGCAUCCAUCAAGAUUCAUGUAUUUGUUGUCUAUGUCUUAUUUCAAGAUAACCACCUUUCAACUUUUGCUGCACCUCCGACACCUACUUGAUGAGCAUCUUGGCGAUUUAAUAAGCAGUUACACAAGUCAAGAGAGCCUUGCCCCAACAUGAGUCUUAAUUGAAUAUGUACUACAUAAUAGAAUUAAUUCAGAGCAAACCACCA
This is a long non-coding RNA of Physeter macrocephalus (sperm whale), 608 nucleotides long. RefSeq lists it as uncharacterized. The record is from RefSeq and is a predicted model, not a curated record. Lineage: Eukaryota; Metazoa; Chordata; Mammalia; Artiodactyla; Physeteridae. The transcript has 3 exons.